This 464-nucleotide ribosomal RNA is filed under the name uncultured bacterium. RNAcentral's name for it is "partial 16S ribosomal RNA". It matches the Rfam family "Bacterial small subunit ribosomal RNA", at positions 339 to 795 of the family's 1533-position model. The record is from RNAcentral.
CUACGGGCCGCAGCAGUGAGGAGUUUUGCGCAAUGGGGGAAACCCUGACGCAGCAACGCCGCGUGAGCGAAGAAGGCCUUCGGGUCGUAAAGCUCUGUCAAGUGGGAAAAACGUUUUCCGGUAAAUAGCCGGGAGAUCUGAUGGUACCGCUGAAGGAAGCACCGGCUAACUCCGUGCCAGCAGCCGCGGUAAUACGGAGGGUGCAAGCGUUGUUCGGAAUUAUUGGGCGUAAAGAGCGGGUAGGCGGUUUGGUAAGUCAGAUGUGAAAGCCCUGGGCUUAACCCAGGAAGUGCAUUUGAAACUGCUUUACUUGAGUAUGGGAGAGGAGAGUGGAAUUCCUGGUGUAGAGGUGAAAUUCGUAGAUAUCAGGAGGAACAUCUGUGGCGAAGGCGACUCUCUGGACCAAUACUGACGCUGAGACGCGAAAGCGUGGGUAGCAAACAGGAUUAGAUACCCGCGUAGUC